Molecule: ribosomal RNA, 665 nt
Filed under: uncultured Actinomycetes bacterium
Lineage: Bacteria; Bacillati; Actinomycetota; Actinomycetes
Description: bacterial SSU rRNA
Rfam family: Bacterial small subunit ribosomal RNA
Source: RNAcentral
AGAGUUUGAUCAUGGCUCAGGACGAACGCUGGCGGCGCGCUUCAUCCAUGCAAGUCGAACGAGCCCGGGACUUCGGUCCCAAUGGGAAAGUGGCGAACGGGUGAGUAACACGUGAGAAACCUACCCCGGAGAUGGGAAUAGCCCAGGGAAACCUGGAUUAAUACCCAAUACCCUGCUUGCACCUCAUGGUGCGCUCAGGAAAUGCUUUUGUGCUCCGGGAGGGUCUCGCGGCCUAUCAGCUUGUUGGUGAGGUAAUGGCUCACCAAGGCAUCGACGGGUAGCUGGUCUGAGAGGACGAUCAGCCACACUGGGACUGAGACACGGCCCAGACUCCUACGGGAGGCAGCAGGAGGGAAUAUUGCGCAAUGGGCGAAAGCCUGACGCAGCGACGCCGCGUGGGGGAAGAAGGCCUUCGGGUCGUAAACCCCUUUCAGCAGGGACGAAAUUGACGGUACCUGCAGAAGAAGCGCCGGCCAACUACGUGCCAGCAGCCGCGGUAAUACGUAGGGCGCAAGCGUUGUCCGGAUUCAUUGGGCGUAAAGGGCUCGUAGGCGGUUUGGUAAGUCGGGUGUGAAAACUCAGGGUUCAACUCUGAGACGCCACUCGAUACUGCCAUGACUAGAGUCCGGUAGGGGAGUGUAGAAUUCCUGGUGUAGCGGUGAAAU